CUUUCUGAUAGAAUAGAAAGUCGUGCCUGCCCAUUGAUUAAUUUAACGGCCGCGGUAUUUUGACCGUGCAAAGGUAGCAUAAUCAUUAGUCUUUUAAUUGUGGACUGGAAUGAACGGUUUGACGAAAUAAUAUCUGUCUCUACUAUAUUUUUAGAAUUUUACUUUUAAGUCAAAAGGCUUAAAUGAUGAAUAGGGACGAGAAGACCCUAUAGAUCUUUAUUUCAACUAAUUUAUUUUAAUAUUUGUAAUUAAUUUAAUUAAAUUGUUUGAAAUUUAAUUGGGGUGAUUGGAGAAUAUAAGUAACUUCUUUGUAUUAAACUUUGAUAAGAGGUUUAUUGAUCCUUUAUUAUGGAUUAAAGAUUAAGAUACCUUAGGGAUAACAGCGUUAUUUUAUUUGAGAGUUCUUAUCGACAAUAAAGAUUGCGACCUCGAUGUUGGAUUAAAAUUAUAAUUGGGUGUAACAGCUUAAUAAUAUUGGUCUGUUC
This 485-nucleotide ribosomal RNA is filed under the name Meloimorpha japonica yunnanensis. RNAcentral's name for it is "partial 16S ribosomal RNA". It matches the Rfam family "Bacterial large subunit ribosomal RNA", at positions 1819 to 2582 of the family's 2925-position model. The record is from RNAcentral. Lineage: Eukaryota; Metazoa; Arthropoda; Insecta; Orthoptera; Phalangopsidae.